This 800-nucleotide ribosomal RNA is filed under the name uncultured Bacteroidota bacterium. RNAcentral describes it as "bacterial SSU rRNA". It matches the Rfam family "Bacterial small subunit ribosomal RNA", at positions 57 to 852 of the family's 1533-position model. The record is from RNAcentral. Lineage: Bacteria; Pseudomonadati; Bacteroidota.
GCAGUCGAACGGCAGCAAUAUUAAAUUUAUUUAGUAGAUGGCGAGUGGCGCAGGGNGAGUAACGCGUACACAACCUACCCUCGAGAGGGGUAUAGCCCAUGGGAAACUGGGAAUAAUACCGCAUAAUGUUUAUGAUGUGCAUGCAUUAUAAAUUAAAGUUGAGGCGCUCGAGGAUGGGUGUGCGUUCCAUUAGCUAGUUGGUGAGGUAAAGGCUCGCCAAGGCGACGAUGGGUAGGGGGCGUGAGAGCGUGAUCCCCCACACGGGUACUGAGACACGGACCCGACUCCUACGGGAGGCAGCAGUAAGGAAUAUUGGACAAUGGGCGGAAGCCUGAUCCAGCCAUCCCGCGUGCAGGAUUGACAGCCCUAUGGGUUGUAAACUGCUUUUAUAAUGGAAGAAACCCCCCGACGUGUCGGGGGCUGACGGUACAUUAAGAAUAAGCACCGGCUAACUCCGUGCCAGCAGCCGCGGUAAUACGGAGGGUGCGAGCGUUAUCCGGAAUCACUGGGUUUAAAGGGUGCGUAGGCGGCCAUGUAAGUCAGAGAUGAAAUCCUACAGCUUAACUGUAGAACUGCCUUUGAAACUGUGUGGCUAGAAUAGAGUUGAGGUUAGCGGAAUGUGACAUGUAGUGGUGAAAUGCAUAGAUAUGUCAUAGAACACCAAUUGCGUAGGCAGCUAACUGGGCUUUUAUUGACGCUGAGGCACGAAAGCGUGGGGAGCGAACAGGAUUAGAUACCCUGGUAGUCCACGCCCUAAACGAUGCUAACUCGACGUAUGGAUUUAAUUUGUGCGUCCAAGG